This 345-nucleotide ribosomal RNA is filed under the name uncultured bacterium. Its description in RNAcentral is "bacterial SSU rRNA". It matches the Rfam family "Bacterial small subunit ribosomal RNA", at positions 28 to 372 of the family's 1533-position model. The record is from RNAcentral.
GACGAACGCUGGCGGCGUGCUUAAUACAUGCAAGUCAACUUGACUUUAGAUAGCAAUAUCGAAAAGUAGGGUGGCGCACGGGUGCGUAACGCGUAGGUAAUCUGCCUGAGGUCUGACAUAACCCGUCGAAAGGCGGGCUAACAUCAGAUGAUAUAUAAUCACGACAUCGUGGAAAUAUCAAAUCUUCGGAGCCUUGGGAUGAGCCUGCGUCUGAUUAGGUAGUUGGCGGAGUAAUAGCCCACCAAGCCUACGAUCAGUAGCUGGUCUGAGAGGAUGAUCAGCCACACUGGAACUGAGACACGGUCCAGACUCCUACGGGAGGCAGCAGUAGGAAUAUUGCUCAAU